AUUCUCAAGCUGCUGCAGAACUCGACUGCCAUUGAAAUGUGCAAAAGAAAAAUUUCCUGGCAUCUUAAAAAAAAUGUCGAAGUCAGUUACUCCACAAAGUCUGGAGUUGCUUCUGUUGGCCAUCAAUUUCCUGUGGUGCAGAGGGGCUACAAAUAUAAUACAGAUUAAACUCCCUGCAGGAAGUCUCUUAUGGAUAAGAACAAGUUCAGCUUCCCAUUGGGGAUGACAGAGCUGGUGCUCAGGUCAUCAACAUCCUGCUGAACCUAUGAGAAAGCAUUUGGGACAACUUGACAAUGCAUGGUGAGUCAGAAAGUUUGCUUUUUGAUUCAACUAUUUAAAAUUCCCUAUUAUUUUCUUUGUUUUUGGCUGCCUUUUGCUUAAUUGUCUUGUCAGCUGUCCUAAGCCUGACAGCCAUAUGAGGUCAAGCAGAAAAACUGAACUGGGGAAAUAAUCAUAGUUCUUCAAUGGAUUGUUUCUGAAAACUGAAUAUGAGGAGAGAAUAUUCAUAGGUAUGGCAUAACUUCCAUUUUGUAGCUGGAAGAAAUCAUACCCCCAAAUUAUGACAAUUUAUAGAAUUAUGAGUUGAAUGUUUGUGUAAGUAUAUGCCUUCAUAUUUUUAAACAUGUAUAGGCUGCAUUAUUUUCUGCCAAUAAAUUUUAUGGCUUUUAUAUCAAGUAAAGAUAUGUUGCUAAUAUGAUCCCUGCAGUUGAUAGAUAAUAUAACUUUUUGUGGGCUAGACUAACCAUGUGGCUUCCCAGUUGGGCUGUAAAGGAAUCAACAGCUAGUUUAGAGUUACUGGGGGCAGCAUUUGGAAGAUUUAACUUGUCCAGUUUGGGCCACUUAUUAAUAUUACAUAUUGCUUAUCUAUCUUUUGCAAUUCUUUGGGGUCCCUUCCGUAGACGUGGUGCUCAAGGAAGCUUUGAUGGAAGGCUUUCUGUAGACAAUUCACUUGGUUCUGACAGGCCAAGAAAGCCUGUCUGGAGCCAAGAUAAACCCAAGGCUCAUUUCUGCAUUUAUUUAUUAAUACAGCAAAUAUGGUUAUUUUUUGGAGAUUGUCAGAAAAUCAGUUCUACAUACUAGAUGUGAACUUGCACUCUGAUACUAGUUCUGUGUUCAUUUGUAUUUUCUUUUAUUUCUUGGUAAAAGCUCAGAAAACAACUGGAUAGAAAUGUGAUCUUUUGGCAUCUUUGAAUUCACUCUUACUGAGAUAUCAGUUUUCCCGUCAAAGGAAAAAUUAAGAAAAUGAAAA
Homo sapiens (human) is the source of this 1249-nucleotide long non-coding RNA. Ensembl annotates it as long intergenic non-protein coding RNA 1340. Lineage: Eukaryota; Metazoa; Chordata; Mammalia; Primates; Hominidae. The record is from Ensembl.